This 492-nucleotide ribosomal RNA is filed under the name uncultured bacterium. RNAcentral's name for it is "partial 16S ribosomal RNA". It matches the Rfam family "Bacterial small subunit ribosomal RNA", at positions 29 to 507 of the family's 1533-position model. The record is from RNAcentral.
AGUGAACGCUGGCGGUAGGCCUAACACAUGCAAGUCGAACGGCAGCACAGUAAGAGCUUGCUCUUACGGGUGGCGAGUGGCGGACGGGUGAGGAAUACAUCGGAAUCUACUUUUUCGUGGGGGAUAACGUAGGGAAACUUACGCUAAUACCGCAUACGACCUACGGGCGAAAGCAGGGGAUCUUCGGACCUUGCGCGAUUGAAUGAGCCGAUGUCGGAUUAGCUAGUUGGCGGGGUAAAGGCCCACCAAGGCGACGAUCCGUAGCUGGUCUGAGAGGAUGAUCAGCCACACUGGAACUGAGACACGGUCCAGACUACUGCGGGACGCAGCAGUGGGGAAUAUUGGGCAGUGGGCGCAAGCCUGAUCCAGCCAUACCGCGUGGGUGAAGGAGGCCUUCGGGUUGUAAAGCCCUUUUGUUGGGAAAGAAAAGCAGCAGGUUAAUACCCCGCUGUUCUGACGGUAACCAAAGAAUAAGCACCGGCUAACUUCGUG